CUAAGCGUUCGUAGCCGGAUGAGCAAGCCCUGAGUGAAAUCGUUGCGCUCAACAAAACGACGUGCUUGGGAGACUACACAUCUUGGGACCGGGAGGAGUUAGGGGUAUUCCUGAGGGAGCGGUAAAACAUACUCGCCUACAGCUCGUAGCUGUAAACGGGUGUUUACAGUGUUAUAAUCUCGGGAAGACCACCUGUGGCGAAGGCGCCUAACUAGAACGGGUUCGACGGUGAGGAACGAAAGCUAGGGGAGCAAACCGGAUUAGAUAUCGGGCAGUUUGUCAAUUUUCUUUGUCGUUUGCCAAUCAUUAUCUGCUGACGAAGAAAGAUCAUGAAACUGAAUAUCCCGACUAAUUACCCGAGUAGUCCUAGCU
Molecule: ribosomal RNA, 372 nt
Filed under: uncultured euryarchaeote
Lineage: Archaea; Methanobacteriati; Methanobacteriota
Description: partial 16S ribosomal RNA
Rfam family: Archaeal small subunit ribosomal RNA
Source: RNAcentral